UAGAAAGCUAGCUUUGCCUGUUGAUAGACUAGAUAAUGCUUUAUUAGUCGAAGUAGCUAGUGGCAAGUUUGUACCUGUUAGCCAUCGUAUGAAAAACAUCUUAAUCGACCUUAAUGGGAAUAAGUUUCACGAGGAGUUAUUGCCUAUCGAACUUAAUGGUUUCGACAUCGUCUUGGGAAUGGAUUGGCUUAGCGCCAAUGAUGCCGAAAUUUUAUGCAAGAAGAAGAUAGUUAAAGUAAACCCGCCUGGGAAAGAUUCGUUUAUGGUGUAUGGGGACAAACGCAGAGUGAAUUCUGGAAUCAUUUCUCUAAUGAAAGCCAGAAAGUGUUUGACCAAGGGAUGUACAUCAUAUUUAGCAUUCGUGAUUGAUGCUAAGAAGGAAAAGAAGGUGAUGCAGAGCAUUCCAGUGGUGUGUGAUUAUCCGGAAGUAUUUCCCGAGGAUCUUCCUGGAUUACCACCUGAUAGACAAGUGGAGUUCAGAAUAGACUUGUUACCAGGAACCACGCCAAUAGCAAAAGCACCUUAUCGAUUAGCACCGACGGAGAUGAAGGAGCUGAUGAUGCAACUUCAGGAGUUAUUGGACAAAGGUUUCAUUAGACCUAGUUCAUCGCCCUGGGGAGCUCCGGUGUUAUUUGUAAAGAAGAAAGAUGGAAGUAUGAGAAUGUGCAUCGAUUACAGAGAGCUGAACAAGGCAACAAUAAAGAAUAGAUAUCCGUUGCCGAGGAUUGAUGACCUGUUUGAUCAAUUGCAAGGUUCGAGCUAUUUCUCGAAGAUCGAUCUUAGGUCAGGAUAUCAUCAGCUAAAAGUAAGAGAGCAAGAUAUCGAGAAGACUGCAUUCAGAACUAGAUAUGGACACUACGAGUUCUUGGUUAUGUCGUUUGGACUAACCAAUGCUCCAGCAGCGUUCAUGGAUUUGAUGAAUAGGGUUUGUAAUCCUUUCCUUGAUAAAUCCGUGAUAGUGUUCAUAGACGACAUUCUGAUCUACUCGAAAAGCCAGGAGGAGCAUGGCAGACACUUGCGAGAAGUGUUAGAAGUUUUGAAGAAGGAGAAGCUUUAUGCGAAGUUCUCCAAAUGUGAUUUUUGGAUUCGUGAGGUCCAAUUCUUGGGUCACGUGGUCAACCAAGAAGGGAUAAUGGUUGAUCCAGCGAAGAUCGAAGCUGUGACGAAGUGGGAACAACCGAAAAGUCCCACGGAGAUUCGAAGCUUUUUAGGAUUAGCCGGAUAUUACCGAAGGUUUAUCCAAGGCUUUUCUUCGAUUGCUACUCCAUUAACAGCUUUGACCCACAAAGGAGCUACUUAUGCUUGGAGUGAGAAGCAUAAAGAAGCAUUCGAGAAGUUAAAGAAGAAGCUAUGCGAGGCACCGAUACUUUCUCUACCCGAUGGAGUUGAAGACUUCGCUGUUUAUAGCGAUGCGUCUGGUGUUGGAUUGGGUUGUGUUUUGACCCAAAGAGAAAAGGUGAUAGCAUAUGCGUCUCGACAGCUGAAAGAGCAUGAAAAGAAUUACCCGACUCAUGAUUUGGAGUUGGCAGCGGUAGUUUUCGCUCUGAAAAUAUGGAGGCAUUACCUCUAUGGCACGAAGUGCAAACUUUUCACUGAUCAUAAGAGUCUCCAAUACCUCUUUAAUCAGAAAGAAUUGAAUAUGAGGCAACGACGCUGGCUAGAAUUACUUAAAGACUACGACUGCGAGAUACUUUACCACCCCGGUAAAGCUAAUGUUGUUGCUGAUGCUCUCAGUCGGAAAGUCAAUCUUGAAAGGAAGAGGCCAAGAGCGUUGAGAAUUGAAGUUGUCUCGACUAUUGUGGAAAGUAUAAAGAAAGCUCAAGAGGAAGCUUCUGAGAAAAAUGACCGAAAGGAGGAACGUUUGGGUAAAACGUUGGUGUUUGGUACUAACGGUCAUGGACUGAAGGUAUUCCAAGAUCGUAUUUGGGUACCUAAGUCAGGAGGAAUUAGGGAUCUUCUGAUGGAAGAAGCUCACAAAACCAUGUACUCAAUUCAUCCGGGUAGCACUAAAAUGUAUAGGGACCUGAAACCCUACUACUGGUGGCCGACGAUGAAGCUUGAUGUUGCAAAGUAUGUGGCCGAGUGUGUGACUUGUGCGAGAGUCAAGACACAACAUCAGAAACCUUACGGGAGUUUAGAACCAUUGCCUGUGCCUAUGGGUAAGUGGGAAGACAUUGCUAUGGAUUUUGUCACUAAACUGCCCAGAACAAAGAAUGGUCACGACAUGAUUUGGGUGGUCGUUGAUCGAUUCACUAAGAGUGCGCAUUUCAUAGCGGCCAGGGAGAAAUGGUCUAUGGAAAAGCUUGCGAAUUCUUACGUGAAGGAAAUUGUGAGGCUUCACGGUGUUCCGUUAACGAUUGUAUCGGAUCGUGAUAGCCGUUUCACCUCAAGGUUUUGGAAAAGUCUACAAGAGGAAAUGGGUACCAAGUUAUGUUUAAGCACAGCUUACCAUCCGCAGACUGAUGGUCAGAGUGAAAGAACAAUACAAACACUUGAAGAUAUGCUGAGAGCAUGUACCUUGGAAUUCCUAGGUAAUUGGGAUGAACAUUUACCGUUGGUAGAAUUUUCCUAUAAUAAUAGUUUUCACUCGAGCAUUAAGAUGGCACCUUAUCAAGCUUUGUAUGGACAGAAGUGUCGUACGCCGUCUUGUUGGCUUGAGGCUGGGGAAAAGCAGUUUAUGGGACCGGAGAUGGUUCAUCAAACUGCUGAAAAGUUGAAAAUAAUUAGGGAAAGAAUGUUAGCAGCUCAAGAUCGUCAAAAGAGCUAUGCUGACAAGAAGCGAAGACCGAUGACUUUUGAGGUUGGAGAUUCGGUUUUGCUUAAAGUCUCGCCGUGGAAGGGACUUAUAAGAUUUGGUAAAAGGGGAAAGUUGAGUCCAAGGUUUAUUGGACCGUUUAAAGUCCUUCAGAGGAUUGGGAAUCAAGCUUACAAGCUCGAAUUACCCGAAGAACUGAAUGGAAUUCACAACACCUUUCAUGUGUGUUAUUUGAGGAAGUUCACGGGAGAAGUUCCCGAUAUAAUUCCAAUUUCUGAAUUGAGAAUUGAUGAGAACAAAAGGUUGAUUGAAGAACCAGAGGCAAUUGUUGACCGAAAGACUAAGAAGUUGCGACGCAAAAUGGUUGGGUUAGUGCUUGUCCGAUGGAAACACACGAAUGGGCCGAAUCUCACCUGGGAGACGGAGAGUGACAUGUUGAGUCGCUAUCCGCAUUUGUUUGUUGAUGUGUGAUUCCGGGGACGGAAUCAUUCUAAGGUGGAGAGAAUUGUAACGCCUGUGUUUCCGGGCUUGCCAUUUUUAGCAAUGUAAUAGUCUAGGUUAACCUUUGUAACCCGUUUUGAAAUAAUAAGAUUGUAUUAUUUGAGUAUUAUGUGUUUUGUGCUUAAUUGCUUAAUUAUGUGGUUUGAUUAAUUAAGAAUAAAAAUAAGCGUCAAAAUUUAAGUGUAAAAUAAACUUAAUAUCUUUGGUUAAUGUUGUAGUAGUUGAAACGAGGUUUCCGAAUAUAUAUAGAACGCCCAAAUCUGACUUCGUAUGAGGAAGUUAUGAUUUAUCGAAGUUCCGGCUUAGCGAUAUACAGCCUGUUUUACUCGAUUUGAGAUCGAGCGGUUGUUAGCCGAAGCAAUCUAAAUGAGAAUCGAAGAUCUCAUUGUUGGUAUUGAAACGAUAAAAAGUUAGGCGAGAACGGACGUCAAACGAAGAAGUUAUGAAUUUAUAACGAAAGUUUCUGUCCCGGCCUAUUAAAAAUAAUUAAUAAAAAUAAAGUCAAAAUUAGCCGACGGAGUCUAAACGAAAGUCGUAGAGCGUGGUCUCACCUUCGCGUGGAUAUAAAGAACGUCGAAAACGGAGUUCGUAUGAAGAAGUUAUGAAUUUCCGAAGUUUAUUAAUCAUUUUGUAUUUAUUUUUAAUUCAAAAUUCGGAAGCAUUAUCCGAAGGAGUCACCGAUCUGAUCCGAGGUACGCCCCGCGUACUCGAGUACGCCCCGCGUACUCCGAGGGAUGUCGACACUCGCACUCGAGCACUUCGGAUACGUAAGCAAUGACGUUUUGGGCAGUACGCCCCGCGUAACGCAGUACGCCCCGCGUACUCCGAGGCUCCAGCCUCCUAUAAAUAGGAUGCGAGGGUUCCGGGUAUUUUUGCCAAUUCCCUCUCGUUUUCGUGUCGAAGCUCUGUGCAAAAACCCCCGAAGCUACCCCGAAGUCCCGGUAUCAUACUCUAGCCCCGAGGCAAGUCCCGAGAUCCUGAAGAUCCCGAAAAGUGCGGUUCCCGAGUCGAAGCUCUGCCCGCGAGAAGUUCGAUUUUCGAGAAGAUCUUCCAGAUCUGCUGUGGAUUACUACUUCUAUAAGCCGUAGUGCUGUCCGAUCAUCUUCUGAUCAAGUGAGUGUGUAGUUAUUUCUUCUAAUACAAUAAUACGAAGUAUUUUAUAUAAAAAUACGUGCUAUGUGUAUAUAUUUGGUUGUGUUAUGUGUGAAUGAGUAUUCACUCUCUUCUAUCUUAUAGAUCUGCUUAUUUCUUUAUGAGAUAUGUGUUAUGUGUGUGUGUGCCUCAUCUGUUAUGUGAUAUAUGUGUUGAUUAAAGCAUGCUAUACAGGUUUUCUUUAAACUAUGUAUACAAAUGUAUAUUUUUAUCUACUAAUAUGUUGGGUAGAACAUGGGUAGACAGUUGGUGUGUAAUAAACAGAUGAGAGGCCUCGUUGUUGUUUGAUUGAGUCAUCUAGCGGAGUUUAGAUGACGACCACUGGCUAUUCUAGACAGUCUUGUGGAAACAUUAGCAGGUUCGCCACCUGUAGGUGUUAAUGAACUUGGGUGUUCAUUCGCUGUACUCCAUCCCCCUCAUGGUUGCCUUAUUUGACUUAUAUUGCUGAGGUACCCCCGAAGCAUGUGUUGUCGCCCCGAUGAAAUAUUCUUAGACUAGGUCCCUUAUGUUAGUUGUUUUAGGGACAUUAAAGUGAGAAUAACGGGAAUGGGUAAUUGGGUUAUUGUUGGUUGGUGAAAAUUAAAUAUGAUAUUUAUUGUGGGUUGAAAACCCUAUAUGCUCACCAGGCUCCCAAGCCUGACCCACUCAGUUUUAAAUUGUAUUACAGGUAGUGGCGGAAGGGCAUGAGAUGGAUGAACCAUCAAGUUGUUUUGUUUACAAGUCUGCAUAUGUUUAUAUUUGUUAUAUGACUUGUAAUGUAUUCGUUUAUGCUUAUUGGUCUGUAUCGGAACAUGACACCCCGAGUUUUGAUUAUAAUGAAAAUACAUUUCUUUUAUGAAAUGCUUCGGUAAACAAUGUUUUAUCAUGUUUUGUUUUUGGGAACAAAUUCCGCAACUCUUUCAAAUCAAAAGGAUUUACUCUGAAAAUAUUUAAAAGCAUAAAUGAAAAUCGGUCUUUUCUGGCCGAGAUUUUGGGGAUGUCACAGUUGGUAUCAGAGCAUUAGUUUAAGCGAACUAGGAAUUUGUAGGAUUUCUAGACUUAAACUUAGAAUGCUAAGUGAAGUUUUGAGAUGUGUGUCUGUUGUGAUUUAGACACGAGCACUAGUUUAUUUUAGGAAAGUUGCCUAAAAUGCUUUAUGUGCUAAAUGUUAUAUGUUGCCAUAUAUGAUAUUAUUUGUUCGGAUCUAUGGUCUGUUGCCGACCGGAUCUAGAAACCUUAUGUGUGUAGGAUUCUAAGCGUACGUCUACGAUAUUAGAACUAGCAUGUAAACGUUUCGGAGUGAUAAGGAUGAUUUGAAUAUCUAUCAUGAUUGAGGAUCUAAUUUCACCUUAUUCGGUGUAGAUCAAAAUGGUGAGAACAAGAAGUGGAGUUGGAAAUGCUGACGAAAACAGGAAUCAACCACCAGUGAUUGAGCCAAUACCUGUCGUAGCAGCAGCACCUGAGCCAAUAACCAUGGCUGGUGUGCAAUUGAUGAUUCAGACGAUGUUGGAUCGUCAGAUGGAUGAAACUAGACGGUUGCUUCAACAAAAUCGUGAAGAACUGUCGAUUCGUGUGGAAGAGCCUGAACUGAAUGAAGGGCACUCGGAAGGUGGAAACUUCAGUGGGUCUGUUGGUCCAGCCAACCCACCGAUAGUUAGGCAAGAUAACCAUGAUGGAAGGAAUGAUGGAAUGGGAUGCAAGUACAAGGACUUUUUGACUUGUAAACCAUCGACCUUCAAUGGAAAGGAGGAUCCGAUUGGGGUUAUGGAUUGGAUCUCCGAAAUGGAGUUAGCCUUUAUGACAUGUGGCUGUAGAGGCAAGUUGCAGACUAUCUAUGCCGUGCGACAAUUCCGAGGUGGAGCCGUUCGUUGGUGGAACACUCUAGGGAAGACCUUAAGCCCUAAUGAGCCACUGCAAUUGUCAUGGGCAGAGUUCUUGGUGCAGUUCAAGCGCAAGUUCUGCUCGGCUCAAAAUCUGUUGGAGUUGGAGAACAAGUUUUUGACAUUGACGAAGGGUAGCAUGUCAGUGGAUGAGUACACCAAUAACUUCACCGAUAAGAUGGAGUUUGCCUUGCGUAUCGUUCCAGACGAGCUGACAAAGGUGGAUCGGUAUGCGAAGGGACUUCCAUGGGAGUACGAGGUGCCGGUACGUCAGGCACUUACUCUAGAGGCAGCUAUCUGGGCUGCCAAGUCUGUGGAGAACAUGAUCAAGGGGAGAACCACCGUCAAGGUUGAGGUUGGUGAGAAAAGGAAGUUUGAAGGAACAUCUGGUUCCAGUAAGAAGAGCAAAUUUUCGAAAUCUGAUUCGAAAAAGUUUGGAGGAAAAGGAGGCGAAGCAAAGUGGUGUGAUAAGUGUAAGAAAAAGCACUUUGGGAAAUGUAGCGAGGAUGUGACCUGCUACAAGUGUGGAAAGGUUGGACAUUUUGCCAAUGAAUGUCCGAACAACAAAAGGAUGUGUUUUGGGUGUAAUGAAGAGGGGCAUAUUUUGAAAGACUGUCCGAAGAAGAAGGAGGCAGCUAGGCCCAACAUUCCACCAAAGCCGAAGGCGAGAGCCUUCCAGAUGACACUUGAGGCUGCGAAAGAUGAAGCUGAUGUCGCUUCAGGUACCUUUCUCGUAAACGAAUUACCUGCUCAUAUAUUGUUUGAUUCUGGAGCCAACUACUCCUUUAUUUCGCAUGAGUUUGGUAGAAAGCUAGCUUUGCCUGUUGAUAGACUAGAUAAUGCUUUAUUAGUCGAAGUAGCUAGUGGCAAGUUUGUACCUGUUAGCCAUCGUAUGAAAAACGUCUUGAUCGACCUUAAUGGGAAUAAGUUUCUCGAGGAAUUAUUGCCUAUCGAACUAAAUGGUUUCGACAUCGUCUUGGGAAUGGAUUGGCUUAGCGCCAAUGAUGCCGAAAUUUUGUGCAAGAAGAAGAUAGUUAAAGUAAACCCGCCUGGGAAAGAUUCGUUUAUGGUGUAUGGGGACAAACGCAGAGUGAAUUCUGGAAUCAUUUCUCUAAUGAAAGCCAGAAAGUGUUUGACCAAGGGAUGUACAUCAUAUUUAGCAUUCGUGAUUGAUGCUAAGAAAGAAAAGAAGGUGAUGCAGAGCAUUCCAGUGGUGUGUGAUUAUCCGGAAGUAUUUCCCGAGGAUCUUCCUGGAUUACCACCUGAUAGACAAGUGGAGUUCAGAAUAGACUUGUUACCAGGAACCACGCCAAUAGCAAAAGCACCUUAUCGAUUAGCACCGACGGAGAUGAAGGAGCUGAUGAUGCAACUUCAGGAGUUAUUGGACAAAGGUUUCAUUAGACCUAGUUCAUCGCCCUGGGGAGCUCCGGUGUUAUUUGUAAAGAAGAAAGAUGGAAGUAUGAGAAUGUGCAUCGAUUACAGAGAGCUGAACAAGGCAACAAUAAAGAAUAGAUAUCCGUUGCCGAGGAUUGAUGACCUGUUUGAUCAAUUGCAAGGUUCGAGCUAUUUCUCGAAG
Molecule: long non-coding RNA, 7843 nt
Filed under: Lactuca sativa (garden lettuce)
Lineage: Eukaryota; Viridiplantae; Streptophyta; Magnoliopsida; Asterales; Asteraceae
Description: long non-coding RNA (LSAT_LNC003979)
Source: RNAcentral